This is a long non-coding RNA of Artibeus jamaicensis (Jamaican fruit-eating bat), 640 nucleotides long. RefSeq lists it as uncharacterized. NCBI's taxonomy places the organism in Eukaryota, Metazoa, Chordata, Mammalia, Chiroptera, Phyllostomidae. The transcript is spliced from 5 exons. The record is from RefSeq and is a predicted model, not a curated record.
UUCAAGAACCAGUCUUCCUCAUGGCUGGUCCCUGGCUCUCAGCGGAGAGAGCGGGAGGGUCCAGCCGGGCCAGCGAAGCCUCGGGCUGCAUCUGCUGACCCCAUGGGGCCUCCAAACACUAUGCCCAGUCUGGCUUCACAGCGAUAGCCAGGCUCUGGGGCCAGGUUAGUGCAAGGCUCCUUCUGCCCCAGGAAGCCUCUUCUUCAGUGGCUGAGGCAGGCGUUGGAGAAAGAGGCUGAAACAGCUAUAGCCUCGCCACCCCUCCCAGUGAGGAGCAGACCUCUUUUGGGACUGGCCUGGGAGGAUCUCAGCACCCAGAAGCACAACUGAGGCUGGUGGUGCGCCCUGGCUCCUGGAUUUCACCAGUGGGAUUCAGCUUCUCUUGGCCACAGUGGGAACUUGCUUGGAGUCAGGAGUGGUGCUGCACUGAACCGGUCCCUUGUACCCAGACACCUUAUGUGAGGACGGUAGGGUGGCAAGCCUUUGCUCUCUCGACCUUGGAGAACUUGCACCAGGAAUCAGCCACAGAUGGGCCUGUGGAGAAAAAGAUCUCCAUCAUAAAAAUCAACAGAUACUUUCCUGAUGUUUAACAGAAGGUGUGCACAGGGCCAGUUCAAGAUUCUCUUCACACACCUGAGAG